GUUUCCAUAGUGUAGUGGUUAUCACGCCGGCUUUAUACGCUGAAGGUCCUCAGUUCGACCCCGGGUGGAAACA
Molecule: transfer RNA, 73 nt
Filed under: Daphnia galeata
Lineage: Eukaryota; Metazoa; Arthropoda; Branchiopoda; Diplostraca; Daphniidae
Rfam family: tRNA
About the family: Transfer RNA (tRNA) molecules are approximately 80 nucleotides in length. Their secondary structure includes four short double-helical elements and three loops (D, anti-codon, and T loops). Further hydrogen bonds mediate the characteristic L-shaped molecular structure. tRNAs have two regions of fundamental functional importance: the anti-codon, which is responsible for specific mRNA codon recognition, and the 3' end, to which the tRNAs corresponding amino acid is attached (by aminoacyl-tRNA synthetases). tRNAs cope with the degeneracy of the genetic code in two manners: having more than one tRNA (with a specific anti-codon) for a particular amino acid; and 'wobble' base-pairing, i.e. permitting non-standard base-pairing at the 3rd anti-codon position.
Source: Rfam by way of RNAcentral